UACGUGAGCCACAAACGUUACUCGGAAUCAUUGGGCGUAGAGCGUUUGUAGGGGGAUUGGAAAGUAGGACGUUCCAGAUCAUGGCUCAACCAUGAUAGUGCGUUCUAAACUUCCAAUCUGGAAGGCAGUAGAGGUCAAUAGAAUUCCCGGUGUAGGGGUUAAAUCCGUAGAUAUCGGGAGGAAUACCAAUAGUGAAGACAAUUGACUGGGCUGUUCUUGACCCUUAGAAACGAAAGCGUGGGGAG
This 245-nucleotide ribosomal RNA is filed under the name uncultured bacterium. RNAcentral's name for it is "partial 16S ribosomal RNA". It matches the Rfam family "Bacterial small subunit ribosomal RNA", at positions 524 to 768 of the family's 1533-position model. The record is from RNAcentral.